GACGAACGCUGGCGGCGUGCUUAACACAUGCAAGUCGAACGAAGUGGCGAACGGGUGAGUAACGCGUACUCAACCUGCCCUUCGAAGGGGGACAACAGUUGGAAACGACUGCUAAUACCGCAUACUGAAGGAGGGGAUGGCGUUUGAUUAGCUAGUUGGAGGGUUAACGGCCCACCAAGGCGAUGAUCGGUAGCCGGGUCGUGGGGAUGAACGGCCACAACGGGACUUGGACACGGGUCAAACUUCUAAGGGAGGCAGCAGUGGGGAAUCUUCCGCAAUGGACCAAAGUCUGACGGAGCAACGGCGCGUGAGGGAUGACGGCCUUCGGGUUGUAAAGCUCUGUUAAGCGGGACGCGGUACCUGAAUAGAAAGCCACGGCUAACUACGUGCCAGCAGCCGCGGUAAUAC
This 408-nucleotide ribosomal RNA is filed under the name uncultured bacterium. Its description in RNAcentral is "partial 16S ribosomal RNA". It matches the Rfam family "Bacterial small subunit ribosomal RNA", at positions 28 to 526 of the family's 1533-position model. The record is from RNAcentral.